GGAAGGAUCAUUGUCGUUGCCUCUCAAAAACACGACCGUUGCACACGUCACAGAACGCUGCCGGGGAGGUGCUUGCUGCCUCCUCGGCCCCACCGGCCUCGUCCCUCUCGCCUUUCGGGCGCGUUGGUCAGUGGCCGGAAUACGGCGCGGGAUGACGCCAAGGAACACGAUAAAAGCUAAGGCACCGGUGAGUCGCCCGAGGGCUUGCGUCGGGUGCCGAGGCCAAUGAUAAAAAUAUGACUCUCGGCAACGGAUAUCUCGGCUCUCGCAUCGAUGAAGAACGUAGCGAAAUGCGAUACGUGGUGUGAAUUGCAGAAUCCCGUGAACCAUCGAGUCUUUGAACGCAAGUUGCGCCCGAGGGACCCUCCCGAGGGCACGCCUGCCUCAUGGGCGUUAGAAGCCCAUCCACGCUCGGUUGCCUCGAGGCAAAGAUGCGGACAUUGGCCCUCCGAACCGCGAGGUGCGGUGGGCCUAAGUGUGCGGCCGUCGUAUGUGGCCGGGAGCGGCGAGUGGUGGGCUACUGCGCACGUCACCCCGAGCCCUGUACAGACACAAGGCCUUUCUGGACCCCUAACGAGGAGCUUGCCGUCGCGGCCUGCGCCGCGCGGCGCCUUCGGACCGAUACCCCAGGUCAGGCGGGGCUACCCGCUGAGUUUAAGCAUAUAAAUAAGCGGAGGAGAAGAAACUUACGAGGAUUCCCCUAGUAACGGCGAGCGAACCGGGAGCAGCCCAGCCUCAGAAUCGCGGUGGCACUGCCGCCCGAAUUGUAGUCUGGAGAAGCGACCUCAGCGACGGACCGGGCCCAAGUCCCCUGGAAAGGGGCGCCGGGGAGGGUGAGAGCCCCGUCCGGCCCGGACCCUGCCGCACCACGAGGCGCUGUCGGCGAGUCGGGUUGUUUGGGAAUGCAGCCCAAAUUGGGCGGUAAACUCCGUCCAAGGCUAAAUACUGGCGAGAGACCGAUAGCGAACAAGUACCGCGAGGGAAAGAUGAAAAGGACUUUGAAAAGAGAGUCAAAGAGUGCUUGAAAUUGCCGGGAGGGAAGCGGAUGGGGGCUGGCGAUGCGCCCCGGUCGGACUCGGUUGGUUCCGCUGUGGCGGACCACCGUGCCUGUCUUCUCGGGGCGUGGACCGAUGCCGGCUGUGCCGGCGGCCCAAGGCCGGGCUCGACCCGGAUUAUGCCGUCGGUGCGGCCGCUGACCCCGUGCGCGCUCGUUGCGUGCCCCCGUGGCACCGCGUCGCGGGCGCAUCGGCCUGCGAGCUCCCCAUCCGACCCGUCUUGAAACACGGACCAAGGAGUCUGACAUGCGUGCGAGUCGACGGGUGCUGAAACCCGGGAGGCGCAAGGAAGCUGACGAGCGGGUAAUCACCGCUGGCCGACCCUGAUCUUCUGUGAAGGGUUCGAGUUGGAGCAUGCCUGUCGGGACCCGAAAGAUGGUGAACUAUGCCUGAGCGAGGCGAAGCCAGAGGAAACUCUGGUGGAGGCCCGAAGCGAUACUGACGUGCAAAUCGUUCGUCUGACUUGGGUAUAGGGGCGAAAGACUAAUCGAACCAUCUAGUAGCUGGUUCCCUC
This 1569-nucleotide unclassified non-coding RNA is filed under the name uncultured fungus. RNAcentral describes it as "sequence contains 18S rRNA gene, ITS1, 5.8S rRNA gene, ITS2, 28S rRNA gene". The stretch from base 622 to 1569 matches the Rfam family "Eukaryotic large subunit ribosomal RNA", at positions 1 to 961 of the family's 3401-position model. Lineage: Eukaryota; Fungi. The record is from RNAcentral.